This 484-nucleotide ribosomal RNA is filed under the name uncultured bacterium. RNAcentral describes it as "bacterial SSU rRNA". It matches the Rfam family "Bacterial small subunit ribosomal RNA", at positions 29 to 507 of the family's 1533-position model. The record is from RNAcentral.
AUGAACGCUAGCGAUAGGCUUAACAAUGCAAGUCGAGGGGCAUCACGAGGUAGCAAUACUUUGGUGGCGACCGGCGUACGGGUGCGUAACACGUAUGCAACCUUCCUGUAAGUGUGGGAUAGCCUCCUGAAAGGGAGAUUAAUACCUCAUGAUAUGUAUUUGCUGCAUGGCAUUUACAUUAAACAUUUAUGGCUUACAGAUGGGCAUGCGUUCCAUUAGGCAGUUGGUGUGGUAACGGCUCACCAAACCUACGAUGGAUAGGGGUUCUGAGAGGAAGGUCCCCCACACUGGAACUGAGACACGGUCCAGACUCCUACGGGAGGCAGCAGUGAGGAAUAUUGGUCAAUGGGCGCGAGCCUGAACCAGCCACGUCGCGUGAAGGAUGACGGCCUUAUGGGUUGUAAACUUCUUUUACAGGGGAAUAAAGUGAGUCACGUGUGAUUUUUUGCAUGUACCCUGUGAAUAAGCAUCGGCUAACUCCGUG